AAGUCGUAACAAGGUUUCCGUAGGUGAACCUGCGGAAGGAUCAUUACUGAAUUGUAAACAAGAGCUGUUGCUGGUCCUCAAGCGAGGGGACAUGUGCACGCUCUGUUCACACAUCCAUUCACACCUGUGCACCCUCUGCAGUUCUGUGGUCCAAGGGGGGCUUUGCUCUCCUGUGCUGCGGAUCUGCUUUUUUAUACACACACGCCGUAAUAAAGUCUUGUGGAAUGUACACCGCGUUUAACGCAAUACAAUACAACUUUCAGCAACGGAUCUCUUGGCUCUC
Molecule: unclassified non-coding RNA, 283 nt
Filed under: air metagenome
Description: partial contains small subunit ribosomal RNA, internal transcribed spacer 1, and 5.8S ribosomal RNA
Rfam family: Eukaryotic small subunit ribosomal RNA (bases 1-46)
Source: RNAcentral